This is a non-coding RNA of Triticum urartu, 120 nucleotides long. Lineage: Eukaryota; Viridiplantae; Streptophyta; Magnoliopsida; Poales; Poaceae. The record is from Rfam.
AGAUGCGAUCAUACCAGCACUGAAGCACUGGAUCCCAUCGGAACUCCGAAGUUAGCAUUCUCGGGUGAGAGUAGUACUAGGAUGGGCGACCUCCUAGGAAGUCCACGUGUGUUGCAUUCC